Orcinus orca (killer whale) is the source of this 1384-nucleotide long non-coding RNA. RefSeq lists it as uncharacterized. NCBI's taxonomy places the organism in Eukaryota, Metazoa, Chordata, Mammalia, Artiodactyla, Delphinidae. The record is from RefSeq and is a predicted model, not a curated record. The transcript is spliced from 2 exons.
CUGGAGGGUGGAGGGCUCGUGAGUGUCCCCCCGCCAACCCCGCCGUGGUGAGGGCUGGCCCACCGGGAGGAUGUGCUUGGGGACGAGGGACUCGCGGCACUGAGCUGUCAGGUCAUCUGAGGGCCAGUGUGUCCUGCUUGUACUCGGAGAUCAGUGACCACACGGUUGGAGGCUGUCAAGGUGUGUGUGACCGAAAGCAGGGCCCCUGCUGGAGGCCAGGCUGCUCUGGGCCCCGCCCUCCUGUCACCUCCCCACUGGGUUCACUUUAGGAUUUGGGACUGCACCGUUUAGGUUGGCUUUGUGCUUUGUUUGAACUUGUGUUUCUGUGACUCUUAGGACAUGAGGACCUUCCAUUCAAUACCAGUAAUAUUGACUGAGCCCUUCUCCCUGGCUGGCUGAUGCAGCCGCCGCCUUGCAGACCUUAGCAGUUACAGCUUGCAGACUGAUCGCCCAGUGCCGUAAGGCACGGCAGAGUGCUCACAGGGACAUCAAGUUUUCUCUAAAGAAAGUGGACAGAAGGGCUUGUUCCCAGCUGGGCUGGGGAGUGGGGCCAUGGGGAGAAUCAGGGAGCUGAAGUUCUCACAGAGGCGCGAAGGCAAGAAUUGGGCUCACGCCAUUCUUCAAAACACAUGGGAUUGAACUUGGUCUUCUCAAAAAAGUUUCUGUAUUGAGUUCCUUGGAUGAAACACAACCCUGAGAUGUGGGUACAGAUCUGGGAGGUGACCUCUGUGAUGGUCCCUAAGUAUGUGGUGGCUUCACUGGGACAUUUUCUCAGCGAGGGCCCAGCAAUGCGUGAGCGGCCUGGGGAGCGGUUGGAAAGCUAAUCGCCAUUGGAAGACCAGAGAGGCUCUUUCCGACAUUCGUGCUCGAAGCACCUGACCCUGGCAGCAGCUGGAUUAACGGAAGAGUCUUCGUGCCCUACUUUGAGGAGUGAGUUUAGCUGCGAGGAUCUUUCAGCAGGUCUAGGGCGUGUCUCGCGAGGCUGCCUGCCAGGAGAACACUUCCCCUGCAGGGGAUGUGGCUGCAGGCUGUUGAUUUCCACUGAAAUCACCCGGGCCUGAUUCCGGUGAAGCCCUGAACAUCCGGUGUCUUCCCCGCAGGGUGGGGUGUGAUGGACGGAAGGCCUGCAACCCCAGGGCCUCACUGUGCUGACAGAGCGCGUGGCGGAGACGGCCACUUUCCUUUUCAGAAUGAAGGACUGCCACACUAGAGGUGAAAUCCUGCUGAAAUGAGAAAAGGACUUUAUGACAGCCCUGCAGGCAGCUCUGUGAUUAUUUUUAUUGUUAUUCUUGGAAUCCGGCAGAAUUUUGCUCCUGUCACAAUAUCUCUACUCUCUCCAGUCAGACGCGGUAACAAUAAAAAUAUGACUUAGCCUGUACUCCCC